CCUACGGGUGGCAGCAGUGGGGAAUAUUGGUCAAUGGCGGGAACCCUGAUCCAGCGACGCCGCGUGAGUGAAGAAGUUUCCCGGUAUGUAAAGCUCUAUCAGCCGGGAAGCAAGAAAUGACGGUACCUGCCUAAGAAGCCCCGGGUAACUACGUGCCAGCAGCCGCGGUAAUACGGAGGGCGCAAGCGUUAUCCGGAUUUACUGGGUGUAAAGGGUGCGUAGGCGGCGAUGCAAGUCUGAAGUGAAAGGCGGGGGGCCAACCUCCGGACUGCUUUGGAAACUGUAUGGCUGGAGUGCAGGAGAGGUAAGUGGAAUUCGUAGUGUAGCGGUGAAAUGCGUAGAUAUUGGGAAGAACACCAGUGGCGAAGGCGGCUUACUGGA
RNAcentral lists this ribosomal RNA (381 nucleotides) under uncultured bacterium. RNAcentral's name for it is "partial 16S ribosomal RNA". It matches the Rfam family "Bacterial small subunit ribosomal RNA", at positions 338 to 733 of the family's 1533-position model. The record is from RNAcentral.